UUUGAAUAAAGUUUGCUGAAA
Non-coding RNA from Caenorhabditis elegans, 21 nucleotides. The record is from Ensembl. Lineage: Eukaryota; Metazoa; Nematoda; Chromadorea; Rhabditida; Rhabditidae.